ACUCCUACGGGAGGCAGCAGUGGGGAAUAUUGCACAAUGGGCGCAAGCCUGAUGCAGCCAUGCCGCGUGUGUGAAGAAGGCCUUCGGGUUGUAAAGCACUUUCAGUUGUGAGGAAGGUGGUGUCGUUAAUAGCGGCAUCAUUUGACGUUAGCAACAGAAGAAGCACCGCAUGACUCGAUCGUCCAGUGCCAGCCAGCCGGCGUAAAUACGGGAGGGGGUUGCGAGCGUUAAUCGGAAUUACUGGGCGUAAAGCGCAUGCAGGUGGUUUGUUAAGUCAGAUGUGAAAGCCCGGGGCUCAACCUCGGAACUGCAUUUGAAACUGGCAGACUAGAGUACUGUAGAGGGGGUGAGAAGUUUCAGGUGUAGCGGUGAAAUGCGUAGAGAUCUGAAGGAAUACCGGUGGCGAAGGCGGCCCCUG
RNAcentral lists this ribosomal RNA (418 nucleotides) under uncultured bacterium. RNAcentral's name for it is "bacterial SSU rRNA". It matches the Rfam family "Bacterial small subunit ribosomal RNA", at positions 335 to 731 of the family's 1533-position model. The record is from RNAcentral.